GGAGGAUUGGCCGAGAGGUAAGGCACCGGCUUGCUAAGCCGUGGUCGGGGGUCACACCCCGCGCGCGUUCGAUCCGCGCAUCCUCCUCAA
RNAcentral lists this transfer RNA (90 nucleotides) under Streptomyces sp. HG99. RNAcentral's name for it is "tRNA-Ser". It matches the Rfam family "tRNA". From Rfam's summary of the family: Transfer RNA (tRNA) molecules are approximately 80 nucleotides in length. Lineage: Bacteria; Bacillati; Actinomycetota; Actinomycetes; Kitasatosporales; Streptomycetaceae. RNAcentral also lists the same sequence under 1 other name. The record is from RNAcentral.